This is a long non-coding RNA of Nomia melanderi (Alkali bee), 1024 nucleotides long. RefSeq lists it as uncharacterized. Lineage: Eukaryota; Metazoa; Arthropoda; Insecta; Hymenoptera; Halictidae. The record is from RefSeq and is a predicted model, not a curated record.
CCGCCAUAGGACUCUUCCCACUAUGUUCUAUGUGCAUCGGAAAACGGUUGUUCAUUUUCGUUUGGAACGUUCUUGGGUUCUUUAAAUGAAAUUAAUCUCUCGAAGCGUGCCUUGGGUCGUGUUAGUUUGAACUUGUUAACAAUUCUUCUAAUCCAAUGAGCAUGUUGAAACAGCAGCAUUUCCUAACAAAUACUUUUAGUGUUAAUAUGGGGGAGGAUGAAAAGGGCUAGAUUCAUAGUGCAAGGAAUAAUUGAAAAUAAUUUCAAUUAGAAAGAGGGUUAAAGCUAAAGCUACUAAGCUUGAGCGAAGUCUUCAACAUGGGAAAGUAGAAAGGAAGUAAGAUGCCAUCUAAAACAAAAAUUCAUUGCAAUGGACUUUCAUGAGUAAGAAAAAUUCCUUAAAUAGGUUUCACACAAUGUACAAGUUUAAGUAACCUCGUUCUGGAAUUAGGUACGAAGUGUGAGAUGUGUUACUCGACAGUACAAAAAUAAAUAUUUAAAUCGAAAGAUAACCAUAAUAAGAGAUACGGAAUGAGCAUCGUUUAGGAAAAAUUAAAUUUAUUCCAUAAAAGAUGUAUGAUACAUUCAAAUGGUACUAUAAAAUGUAAAACAUUACUAGACUAUACUGUCGUGUUUACUUGGAAAGUAAUAAUGCACAAAGUGGUACUGAUGCAGUAGUUUCAAAUAUAAAAUUCAAUUGUUUUUAAUUUAUUACUAUCUUUACAAUAUAGCAUCUUUCCUAUAAAGAAUAUUAAUGAAAACGUGACACGAAAUAAAAAACGGAACUCCGGAUUCAAAUACAUGAUUCGUAAGUUUAAAUGGCAGAUACAUUCGAAGCUUUAAUUUAAAGUACAAAUUUCAUUAAGUGACUGCGAUCGUCAUGGAAAGCUACGUUUUCAUCCAAAUUGAGCAUUAGUACUUGAUUCAUAUAUCUUGUUUUUUUAUACAUUAUUUCGUAAAAGAAAUAUUAAUUAAUCAAUAAGUAUGUAAAGUAAAUAUAUUUAUAGGAUGCUACAAAUGCAGUA